Molecule: ribosomal RNA, 1400 nt
Filed under: Citrobacter sp. wls707
Lineage: Bacteria; Pseudomonadati; Pseudomonadota; Gammaproteobacteria; Enterobacterales; Enterobacteriaceae
Description: partial 23S ribosomal RNA
Rfam family: Bacterial large subunit ribosomal RNA
Source: RNAcentral
GUGAUGACGAGGCACUACGGUGCUGAAGUGACAAAUGCCCUGCUUCCAGGAAAAGCCUCUAAGCAUCAGGUAACACGAAAUCGUACCCCAAACCGACACAGGUGGUCAGGUAGAGAAUACCAAGGCGCUUGAGAGAACUCGGGUGAAGGAACUAGGCAAAAUGGUGCCGUAACUUCGGGAGAAGGCACGCUGAUAUGUAGGUGAAGUGAUUUACUCAUGGAGCUGAAAUCAGUCGAAGAUACCAGCUGGCUGCAACUGUUUAUUAAAAACACAGCACUGUGCAAACACGAAAGUGGACGUAUACGGUGUGACGCCUGCCCGGUGCCGGAAGGUUAAUUGAUGGGGUUAUCCGUAAGGAGAAGCUCUUGAUCGAAGCCCCGGUAAACGGCGGCCGUAACUAUAACGGUCCUAAGGUAGCGAAAUUCCUUGUCGGGUAAGUUCCGACCUGCACGAAUGGCGUAAUGAUGGCCAGGCUGUCUCCACCCGAGACUCAGUGAAAUUGAACUCGCUGUGAAGAUGCAGUGUACCCGCGGCAAGACGGAAAGACCCCGUGAACCUUUACUAUAGCUUGACACUGAACACUGGUCCUUGAUGUGUAGGAUAGGUGGGAGGCUUUGAAGUGUGGACGCCAGUCUGCAUGGAGCCAUCCUUGAAAUACCACCCUUUAAUGGCUGGUGUUCUAACGUGGGCCCGUAAUCCGGGUUGCGGACAGUGUCUGGUGGGUAGUUUGACUGGGGCGGUCUCCUCCCAAAGAGUAACGGAGGAGCACGAAGGUUAGCUAAUCCUGGUCGGACAUCAGGAGGUUAGUGCAAAGGCAUAAGCUAGCUUGACUGCGAGAGUGACGGCUCGAGCAGGUGCGAAAGCAGGUCUUAGUGAUCCGGUGGUUCUGAAUGGAAGGGCCAUCGCUCAACGGAUAAAAGGUACUCCGGGGAUAACAGGCUGAUACCGCCCAAGAGUUCAUAUCGACGGCGGUGUUUGGCACCUCGAUGUCGGCUCAUCACAUCCUGGGGCUGAAGUAGGUCCCAAGGGUAUGGCUGUUCGCCAUUUAAAGUGGUACGCGAGCUGGGUUUAGAACGUCGUGAGACAGUUCGGUCCCUAUCUGCCGUGGGCGCUGGAGAAUUGAGGGGGGCUGCUCCUAGUACGAGAGGACCGGAGUGGACGCAUCACUGGUGUUCGGGUUGUCAUGCCAAUGGCACUGCCCGGUAGCUAAAUGCGGAAGAGAUAAGUGCUGAAAGCAUCUAAGCACGAAACUUGCCCCGAGAUGAGUUCUCCCUGAGACUUAGAGUCUCCUGAAGGAACGUUGAAGACGACGACGUUGAUAGGUCGGGUGUGUAAGUGUAGCGAUACAUUGAGCUAACCGAUACUAAUGAACCGUGAGGCUUAACCUUACAACGCCGAAG